AUGGCGAGCUUCUCUUUCUUGAAAGGUUUGGACGUUCACAUUAAUCCAAACAAUAAUAUUACUACUUUGGAGGUGCUUUGGAUUCCUCCUCUUCAAGGUUGGAUAAAGUGCAACAUCGAUGGGGUUGCUAUUGGAUCCCCUAUGACCACUCCGUGUGGAGGAAUCUUUAGAGACUAUGAAGCGAAUCACAUGGAUUAUGUGUUAGACAAAGAAGAUACUCCUAAACUUAGGCUUUGUUAUUAA
Non-coding RNA from Vicia faba (fava bean), 243 nucleotides. The record is from the annotation of a GenBank genome assembly. Lineage: Eukaryota; Viridiplantae; Streptophyta; Magnoliopsida; Fabales; Fabaceae.